This 442-nucleotide ribosomal RNA is filed under the name uncultured bacterium. RNAcentral's name for it is "partial 16S ribosomal RNA". It matches the Rfam family "Bacterial small subunit ribosomal RNA", at positions 338 to 795 of the family's 1533-position model. The record is from RNAcentral.
CCUACGGGUGACAGCAGUGGGGGAUAUUGCACAAUGGGGGAAACCCUGAUGCAGCGACGCCGCGUGGGAGAAGAAGGAUUUCGGGAUGUAAAGCCCUAUCAGCAGGGAAGAAGAAAGGACGGGACCUGAGGAAGAAGCAGCGGCUAAAGACGUGGCAGCAGCCGCGGUAAUACUUCUGGAGCAAGCGUUAUCCGGAUUUACUGGGUGGAAAGGGAGCGCAGGCGGCACGGCAAGCCUGAUGUGAAAGCCCGCGGCCCAACCGCGGGAUUGCCUUGGAAACUACCGGGCUGGAGUGCCGGCGUGGUAGGCGGAAUUCCUCGUGUAGCGGUGACAUGCGUCGCUCUUACGAGGCACCCCAGUGGCGCCGGCGUCCUACUGGACGGUGACUGACGCUGAGGCUCGACAGCGUGUGUAGCAAACAGGCUUCGAUACCCUUGUAGUC